This 241-nucleotide unclassified non-coding RNA is filed under the name uncultured fungus. RNAcentral describes it as "partial contains 5.8S ribosomal RNA, internal transcribed spacer 2, and large subunit ribosomal RNA". The record is from RNAcentral. Lineage: Eukaryota; Fungi. RNAcentral also lists the same sequence under 1 other name.
AACGCACAUUGCGCCCCUUGGUAUUCCGGGGGGCAUGCCUGUUCGAGCGUCAUUUCAACCCUCAAGCUCUGCUUGGUAUUGAGCCCAUGUCAGCAAUGGCAGGCUCUAAAAUCAGUGGCGGCGCCGCUGGGUCCUGAACGUAGUAAUAUCUCUCGUUACAGGUUCUCAGCGAGCUUCUGCCAAAACCCCAAAUUUUUCUAUGGUUGACCUCGGAUCAGGUAGGGAUACCCGCUGAACUUAA